GGCAUGUUUUGACCUAUUUCGGGCCAUUUUCGUGUUGCUGGGGGGAUGAACUCUGAAUGACCUAUUAAAUAAAAGUGUAAUAUCUUUGACACCUAGCGAUACAAACGAUGAUUUUACCAGCACAAACCGACACAAACGGAGCACUAACCACCCAGUAUUUUUUCUGUUUUUCUUUUUCUCUCAGGUUGCUGGUUGUGGAAUUUGGAGCUGCAGAGAUUUGAGCUGUGCUCCAAAAGUGCAUGUUGAAGGUACCUAAUGCUUGCAUAUUAUUUACUUUUUCCUUAAUACGCAAUUUUACAUUUUGAAUUCUCUUAUUUGGUCUUUUAGGUUAUCACCACAGUUCCACUGCUGUCCACAUUCAUGAGCAGUCUUGACCAGUACUCUGACCAGUUGAUGAAGAUUCUACGAAAAAAAGGAGGGGAAACAGCGCGGCGGAUCACAGCAGCAUUGUCUACAAUUUCACAGCACUCCUAUGCAACAACACUUUUCUUCCUUCUUUCGGGUGGUA
Long non-coding RNA from Astatotilapia calliptera (eastern happy), 508 nucleotides. Lineage: Eukaryota; Metazoa; Chordata; Actinopteri; Cichliformes; Cichlidae. The record is from Ensembl.